RNAcentral lists this ribosomal RNA (397 nucleotides) under Rhodococcus sp. iMSN27. RNAcentral's name for it is "bacterial SSU rRNA". It matches the Rfam family "Bacterial small subunit ribosomal RNA", at positions 1 to 385 of the family's 1533-position model. The record is from RNAcentral. Lineage: Bacteria; Bacillati; Actinomycetota; Actinomycetes; Mycobacteriales; Nocardiaceae.
AGAGUUUGAUCCUGGCUCAGAUUAGAGUUUGAUCCCUGGCUCAGGACGAACGCUGGCGGCGUGCUUAACACAUGCAAGUCGAGCGGUAAGGCCUUUCGGGGUACACGAGCGGCGAACGUGUGAGUAACACGUGGGUGAUCUGCCCUGCACUCUGGGAUAAGCUUGGGAAACUGGGUCUAAUACCGGAUAUGGCCCCAGCAUGCAUGUGUUGUGGUGGAAAGAUUUAUCGGUGCAGGAUGGGCCCGCGGCCUAUCAGCUUGUUGGUGGGGUAAUGGCCUACCAAGGCGACGACGGGUAGCCGACCUGAGAGGGUGACCGGCCACACUGGGACUGAGACACGGCCCAGACUCCUACGGGAGGCAGCAGUGGGGAAUAUUGCACAAUCGGCGGAAGCCUG